CCUACGGGGGGCUGCAGUGGGGAAUAUUUGACAAUGGGCGAAAGCCUGAUCCAGCCAUGCCGCGUGUGUGAAGAAGGCCUUCGGGUUGUAAAGCACUUUCAGUGGGGAAGAAAGCCUUGGGGCUAAUACCCUCGAGGAAGGACAUCACCCCCAGAAGAAGCACCGGCUAACUCCGUGCCAGCAGCCGCGGUAAUACGGAGGGUGCGAGCGUUAAUCGGAAUUACUGGGCGUAAAGCGCGCGUAGGCGGUCUGAUAAGCCGGUUGUGAAAGCCCCGGGCUCAACCUGGGAACGGCAUCCGGAACUGUCAGGCUAGAGUGCAGGAGAGGAAGGUAGAAUUCCCGGUGUAGCGGUGAAAUGCGUAGAGAUCGGGAGGAAUACCAGUGGCGAAGGCGGCCUUCUGGACUGACACUGACGCUGAGGUGCGAAAGCGUGGGUAGCAAACAGGAUUAGAUACCCUUGUAGUC
RNAcentral lists this ribosomal RNA (465 nucleotides) under Vreelandella stevensii. RNAcentral describes it as "partial 16S ribosomal RNA". It matches the Rfam family "Bacterial small subunit ribosomal RNA", at positions 338 to 795 of the family's 1533-position model. The record is from RNAcentral. Lineage: Bacteria; Pseudomonadati; Pseudomonadota; Gammaproteobacteria; Oceanospirillales; Halomonadaceae.